UAUCUCUCCGUACGGGGAAGGAUGAGAAGCUUCGACUAAGGUUCGAUUCGAGCGAAAGCGAGAAAGCGUUGCCGCAGGCAACGACCCGAAGGGCGAAGCG
Molecule: small RNA, 100 nt
Filed under: Salmonella enterica
Lineage: Bacteria; Pseudomonadati; Pseudomonadota; Gammaproteobacteria; Enterobacterales; Enterobacteriaceae
Description: partial RtT sRNA
Rfam family: RtT RNA
About the family: This family represents a bacterial cis-regulatory element known as RtT RNA.
Source: RNAcentral